UUUGACUUUGGAUCUCGCCGUCUUCAUCCAAGAUGUAAAAGGAGGAUGGCUUGGGCAGCGACUGUGGUGCGUCGGGAAAGGGCGGAUGGUGCAGUGCGUCAGUACCUUGGAAUACCACAAUCUCACCUAAGAGGAAAACACAGAUGAUGGAUUUACGAGGGCAAACAUAUCUAGAGAGUGGAAGUGGCGGCAAUGGAUGGAGAAGAAGAUAGUUAGAUCUAGACAAUGUUCAUGGUUGACGGUGGAGGAGAAGAUAGUUAGGUCUAAGGAGUGGUGGUGGCGGCGGCGGGUGGAGGAGAAUAUGGUCAGAUCUAGAAAAUAUUGAUGGUUGCAGGUGGAGGAGAAGAUAGGUGGAUCUAGAUAAUGUUGAUGGUUGUGUCGUGUGGGGGAUGGCUUUAUAGCCGCACGGUUUGAGAUUAGGGGUGCGACCACGAUCCGCGUGAUGCAAGGUGCGGGCCGUCAGAUUGGAGAUGGGUGGCGGAGAAUGGGGUAAAG
Molecule: long non-coding RNA, 495 nt
Filed under: Triticum aestivum (bread wheat)
Lineage: Eukaryota; Viridiplantae; Streptophyta; Magnoliopsida; Poales; Poaceae
Description: long non-coding RNA (TAES_LNC016648)
Source: RNAcentral